Molecule: ribosomal RNA, 497 nt
Filed under: uncultured bacterium
Lineage: Bacteria
Description: partial 16S ribosomal RNA
Rfam family: Bacterial small subunit ribosomal RNA
Source: RNAcentral
GAUGAACGCUGGCGGCGUGCCUAAUACAUGCAAGUCGAGCGAACAGACGAGGAGCUUGCUCCUCUGACGUUAGCGGCGGACGGGUGAGUAACACGUGGAUAACCUACCUAUAAGACUGGGAUAACUUCGGGAAACCGGAGCUAAUACCGGAUAAUAUAUUGAACCGCAUGGUUCAAUAGUGAAAGACGGUUUUGCUGUCACUUAUAGAUGGAUCCGCGCCGCAUUAGCUAGUUGGUAAGGUAACGGCUUACCAAGGCAACGAUGCGUAGCCGACCUGAGAGGGUGAUCGGCCACACUGGAACGGAGACACGGUCAAGACUCCUACGGGAGGCAGCAGUAGGGAAUCUUACGCAAUGGGCGAAAGCCUGACGGAGCAACGCCGCGUGAGUGAUGAAGGUCUUCGGAUCGUAAAACUCUGUUAUUAGGGAAGAACAAAUGUGUAAGUAACUAUGCACGUCUUGACGGUACCUAAUCAGAAAGCCACGGCUAACUACGUG